Long non-coding RNA from Cygnus olor (mute swan), 551 nucleotides. RefSeq lists it as uncharacterized. The transcript has 3 exons. Lineage: Eukaryota; Metazoa; Chordata; Aves; Anseriformes; Anatidae. The record is from RefSeq and is a predicted model, not a curated record.
UGCUCUCACAGAGAAGCUGUUUGCCUCCCUCUGACCAAGGCAGGACACAUAGCCUUCAUCUCUUCUAAGAGUUGCAUCCUUUUGGUGGAAAAAAGUCUGCAAUGCCCCUUCUGGUGCCAGCAAAGCAGCGUAGAGGUACCAUGGUUAAACUCUGCAGGGUGUGUGUAUGCUAUCAGAGGUGUUAUCAUCUGAUAUUUGUUCCUCUUUAUGAUGUGUGGUGACUCUGGGGAAGUUUUACAGCAGACUGGACUGCGUGUUCAUUGCAGCUUUGGGCUCGUGUGGCCGUGACAGGCUGUGAAAAGUGUCCCAGAGGUUAUACACAGUGUUGUAGGCAUUUUGGCCAAGUUCUUCCCUGGUGCUACUGUUUUAACACAGCAAUGUGCUGUACUCGAUCCAGUCUGCGGAGGUGGGACAAGAAGAUGUGGCAAUUCCCAGAUGUGUGAACCCUGCAGCAGCUGUCCCACUGCAGGUGGUUUGACCCAGCAACACCACGUGUGAAAUAACCACAUGUUAAAGGCUCUGAGCAAAACUGCUUUUUGCUUUUGAGCAAA